Molecule: ribosomal RNA, 536 nt
Filed under: uncultured bacterium
Lineage: Bacteria
Description: bacterial SSU rRNA
Rfam family: Bacterial small subunit ribosomal RNA
Source: RNAcentral
AAACCGGGAUUAAUACCCCAUGAUACUGAACCAUUACAUGAUGGAUCAGUUAAAGCGUAAAGCGGUGAAUGAUGGUCUUGCGUCCCAUUAGCUAGUUGGUGAGAUAAAAGCUCACCAAGGUAACGAUGGGUAGCCGGCCUGAGAGGGUGAUCGGCCACACUGGAACUGAGAACGGUCCAGACUCCUACGGGAGGCAGCAGUGGGGAAUAUUGCACAAUGGAGGAAACUCUGAUGCAGCGACGCCGCGUGAAUGAUGAAGGCUUUCGAGUCGUAAAAUUCUGUCCUUGGGGAAGAUAAUGACGGUACCCAAGGAGGAAGCUCCGGCUAACUACGUGCCAGCAGCCGCGGUAAUACGUAGGGAGCGAGCGUUGUCCGGAUUUAUUGGGCGUAAAGGGUUCGCAGGCGGCCUUAUAAGUCAGAUGUUAAAGACCAUAGCUUAACUAUGGAAAGCAUUUGAAACUGUAUGGCUUGAGUCAAGGAGAGGAAAGUGGAAUUCCUAGUGUAGCGGUGAAAUGCGUAGAUAUUAGGAAGAAUAC